AUACCUACCUGGCGUCCGGAUACCGUGAUCAUGCAGGUUCCCCCGGGGUGCGGCUGCUCCAUUGCACUGUGGAGUGGUUGACCCUUGCGAUUAUUUUUAUUGUUUUAAAAGUUUCACUUCUACCAUUUGUGACUUGUGCACACACACACACUUU
Molecule: small nuclear RNA, 154 nt
Organism: Bombyx mandarina (wild silkworm)
Lineage: Eukaryota; Metazoa; Arthropoda; Insecta; Lepidoptera; Bombycidae
Source: RefSeq, a predicted model, not a curated record